Molecule: long non-coding RNA, 237 nt
Organism: Rosa chinensis
Lineage: Eukaryota; Viridiplantae; Streptophyta; Magnoliopsida; Rosales; Rosaceae
Exons: 3
Source: RefSeq, a predicted model, not a curated record
CCAUCCAAGGGCGUCAACGCGCUGAGGAAAAUUUGAACAGGCUGAUGGAGAAGGAGAGACGUGAGGUGCUCUCAGAUAAGUGAAGCCUCAUCUCUGGGUGAUGAAUAUUACAGAGCCCGACCUAAAGAUGUAGUAGUAUAGGCUUAUGUAGUUGAGCAUAAAGCUGUCUUUUGUAGUAAUGUAGUUAUGAACUCCAAUGUGACUUAUGGAGUUAAGAUGAAGACUUGCAGAUUUGGU